RNAcentral lists this ribosomal RNA (397 nucleotides) under uncultured bacterium. RNAcentral describes it as "bacterial SSU rRNA". It matches the Rfam family "Bacterial small subunit ribosomal RNA", at positions 28 to 417 of the family's 1533-position model. The record is from RNAcentral.
GACGAACGCUGGCGGCGUGCUUAACACAUGCAAGUCGAACGAGGUCCAAGGUGUAGCAAUACAUCUGAAGACCUAGUGGCGAACGGGUGCGUAACACGUGAGGAACUUGUCCCGGUCUCUGGGAUAACAGUUGGAAACGACUGCUAAUACCGGAUGACGUCGGAGCAUCGCAUGGUGCGCUGACGAAAGGGUUACUGGAUCGGGAGAGCCUCGCGGCCUANCAGCUUGUUGGUGGGGUAACGGCCCACCAAGGCAUCGACGGGUAGCUGGUCUGAGAGGAUGAUCAGCCACACUGGGACUGAGACACGGCCCAGACUCCUACGGGAGGCAGCAGUGGGGAAUCUUGCGCAAUGGGCGAAAGCCUGACGCAGCAACGCCGCGUGCGGGAUGAAGGCUC